GCCCCCAUCGUCUAGAGGCCUAGGACGCCACCCUUUCAAGGUGGAGAUCACCGGUUCGAAUCCGGUUGGGGGUA
RNAcentral lists this transfer RNA (74 nucleotides) under Candidatus Dormiibacterota bacterium. RNAcentral describes it as "tRNA-Glu". It matches the Rfam family "tRNA". Rfam says of the family: Transfer RNA (tRNA) molecules are approximately 80 nucleotides in length. Their secondary structure includes four short double-helical elements and three loops (D, anti-codon, and T loops). RNAcentral also lists the same sequence under 2 other names. The record is from RNAcentral. Lineage: Bacteria; Bacillati; Candidatus Dormiibacterota.